This 596-nucleotide ribosomal RNA is filed under the name uncultured bacterium. RNAcentral describes it as "bacterial SSU rRNA". It matches the Rfam family "Bacterial small subunit ribosomal RNA", at positions 112 to 704 of the family's 1533-position model. The record is from RNAcentral.
AAUGCCUAGGAAUCUGCCUAGUAGUGGGGGAUAACGUCCGGAAACGGGCGCUAAUACCGCAUACGUCCUACGGGAGAAAGUGGGGGAUCUUCGGACCUCACGCUAUUAGAUGAGCCUAGGUCGGAUUAGCUAGUUGGUGAGGUAAUGGCUCACCAAGGCGACGAUCCGUAACUGGUCUGAGAGGAUGAUCAGUCACACUGGAACUGAGACGCUGUCCAGACUCCUACGGGAGGCAGCAGUGGGGAAUAUUGGACAAUGGGCGAAAGCCUGAUCCAGCCAUGCCGCGUGUGUGAAGAAGGUCUUCGGAUUGUAAAGCACUUUAAGUUGGGAGGAAGGGCAGUUACCUAAUACGUGAUUGUUUUGACGUUACCGACAGAAUAAGCACCGGCUAACUCUGUGCCAGCAGCCGCGGUAAUACAGAGGGUGCAAGCGUUAAUCGGAAUUACUGGGCGUAAAGCGCGCGUAGGUGGUUUGUUAAGUUGGAUGUGAAAGCCCCGGGCUCAACCUGGGAACUGCAUCCAAAACUGGCAAGCUAGAGUAUGGUAGAGGGUGGUGGAAUUUCCUGUGUAGCGGUGAAAUGCGUAGAUAUAGGAAGG